AACGCACAUUGCGCCCGUUAGUAUUCUGACGGGCAUGCCUGUCCGAGCGUCAUUUAAACCCUUAAGCCCAGCUUAGCGUUGGCGGAUUGCUGCGUCCAGCGCUGCAACCGCCCAAAUCCAUUGGCGGUCCCGCCGCGGCUCCCUUGCGUAGUAACGUUUAGUCUCGCAUCGGGUCCCGGCGGAGGCCUGCCGUCAAGCCUAUUUAUUCUCAGAAUAGUUUGACCUCGGAUCAGGUAGGGUUACCCGCUGAACUUAA
RNAcentral lists this unclassified non-coding RNA (256 nucleotides) under uncultured fungus. RNAcentral's name for it is "sequence contains ITS2". The record is from RNAcentral. Lineage: Eukaryota; Fungi.